UUUCUGGCUCUCUAGGGAGUAUUGUGCGCACUUGUCAUCGUUAUGAUAUAUCUCACCUGUGCACCUUUUGUAGACCUUGUGGAUAUCUUUCUGAUGCUUAGCAUUCAGUCAAGGGGAUUGACUUUGUUGUCUUUCCUUACAUUUCCAGGUCUAUGUAUUUUCAUAUACCCCUUAUGUAUGUUUUCGAAUGACAGUUAAAAUAGGCCUUUGUUGCCUAUAUAGUUAUAUACAACUUUCAGCAACGGAUCUCUUGGCUCUCGCAUCGAUGAAGAACGCAGCGAAAUGCGAUAAGUAAUGUGAAUUGCAGAAUUCAGUGAAUCAUCGAAUUUUUGAACGCACCUUGCGCUCCUUGGUAUUCCGAGGAGCAUGCCUGUUUGAGUGUCAUUAAUAUAUAUAUCAACAACCUCCAUUGUUGAAUGUGAAGGUUGCCGAACUCCUUUGGAGGUCAGCUCCUUUGAAAUACAUUAGCAGGACCAUUCGCUCAUUGGUGUGAUACAUUUAUCUACACUAUUGAUGUGAAGCAAGUUCAGCUUCUAAUAGUCUUUUGACAA
RNAcentral lists this ribosomal RNA (551 nucleotides) under uncultured Cortinarius. RNAcentral's name for it is "eukaryotic LSU rRNA". The stretch from base 231 to 384 matches the Rfam family "5.8S ribosomal RNA". Lineage: Eukaryota; Fungi; Basidiomycota; Agaricomycetes; Agaricales; Cortinariaceae. The record is from RNAcentral.